This is a ribosomal RNA of 1544 nucleotides. It matches the Rfam family "Bacterial large subunit ribosomal RNA", at positions 630 to 2286 of the family's 2925-position model.
AUAUUCUGUAGCAAGGUUAACCGAUUAGGGGAGCCGUAGCGAAAGCGAGUGUUAACUGCGCGUUUAGUUGCAGGGUAUAGACCCGAAACCCGGCGAUCUACCCAUGGGCAGGUUGAAGGUUGAGUAACAUCAACUGGAGGACCGAACACACGUAUUUGAAAAAUGCGGUGAUGACUUGUGGGUCGGAGUGAAAGGCUAAUCAAGCCGGGAGAUAGCUGGUUCUCCCCGAAAUCUAUUUAGGUAGAGCCUCGCACGAACACCAUUGGGGGUAGAGCACUGUUAAGGCUAGGGGGUCAUCCCGACUUACCAACCCUUUGCAAACUCCGAAUACCAAUGAGUGAUAUGCGGGAGACACACUGCGGGUGCUAACGUCCGUUGUGAAGAGGGAAACAACCCAGACCGCCAGCUAAGGUCCCAAAGUACUAGUUAAGUGGGAAACGAUGUGGAAAGGCAUAGACAGCUAGGAGGUUGGCUUAGAAGCAGCCAUCCUUUAAAGAAAGCGUAACAGCUCACUGGUCUAAAUAAGCCGUCCUGCGCCGACAAUGUAUCGGGGCUAAAGCCAUGCACCGAAGCUGCGGACUUCCUUCACAGGAAGUGGUAGCGGAGCGUUCCGUAGGCCGAUGAAUGGCCGCCGCGAGGCGGCCUGGAGGUAUCGGAAGUGAGAAUGCUGACAUGAGUAGCGACAAACAGAGUGAGAAACUCUGUCGCCGAAAGUCCAAGGGUUCCUGCGCAAGGCUAAUCCGCGCAGGGUGAGCCGGCCCCUAAGCCGAGGGCGAAAGCCGUAGGCGAUGGGAACUCGGGUUAAUAUUCCCGGGCCUGCGGGUGGUGACGAAUGCUGAAAGUUGUCCGGACUUAUCGGAUUGUCCGGGCCGCGAAGGUGUUCCAGGAAAUAACCCCCGCGAUCAGACCGUACCCCAAACCGACACAGGUGGACUGGUAGAGCAUACCAAGGCGCUUGAGAGAACGAUGUUGAAGGAACUCGGCAAAUUGCCCCCGUAACUUCGGGAGAAGGGGGCCCGGUCUUUGGGCAACCAAUGGCCGGGGGCACAGACCAGGGGGUGGCGACUGUUUAUUAAAAACAUAGGGCUCUGCGAAGCCGCAAGGCGACGUAUAGGGUCUGACGCCUGCCCGGUGCCGGAAGGUUAAGAGGAGGUGUGCAAGCACUGAAUCGAAGCCCCGGUAAACGGCGGCCGUAACAAUAACGGUCCUAAGGUAGCGAAAUUCCUUGUCGGGUAAGUUCCGACCUGCACGAAUGGCGUAACGACUUCCCCACUGUCUCCAACAUCGACUCAGCGAAAUUGAACUCUCCGUGAAGAUGCGGAGUUCCCGCGGUCAGACGGAAAGACCCCGUGCACCUUUACUACAGCUUUGCAGUGGCAUUAGGAAUUGAAUGUGCAGGAUAGGUGGGAGGCUUUGAAGCACCGGCGUCAGCCGGUGUGGAGCCAACCUUGAAAUACCACCCUUUUGGCUUCUGAUGUCUAACCGCGGUUCAUGAAACUGGGCCCGGGACCCUGCAUGGCGGGUAGUUUGACUGGGGCGGUCGC